CCGCCCAUAACUCAGUUGGUAGAGUAACUGCCUCUUAAGCAGAUAGCCGCAGGUUCGAGUCCUGCUGGGCGGACCA
RNAcentral lists this transfer RNA (76 nucleotides) under Patescibacteria group bacterium. RNAcentral describes it as "tRNA-Lys". It matches the Rfam family "tRNA". Rfam says of the family: Transfer RNA (tRNA) molecules are approximately 80 nucleotides in length. The record is from RNAcentral.